Molecule: long non-coding RNA, 729 nt
Filed under: Salmo salar (Atlantic salmon)
Lineage: Eukaryota; Metazoa; Chordata; Actinopteri; Salmoniformes; Salmonidae
Description: lncRNA (ENSSSAG00000121981.1)
Source: RNAcentral
GGAGGGACAGUGUGAGUUCAGAUUCCAGCCUAGGGCAGAGGGAGCUGUCAGCUAAGAGAGAGGCAGGAGAGCCCCUUGUACUGAGCCUACUGAUGGAGAGAAGAGAGACAAGGAUUAGGGGAGGCCCCUCGAAACCUGCCCGACACAGGACCAACAGUGAAAGGUGAAUCAGAGGACAUCGUAGAGAGGCUGUGUAACACCUGUGACCAUCUCCAUGGCGCCUUGGCCGAGCAAGGAAUGCUGGGCCAGUGUUGCAGGACUCAACCUGCAGCUCGCCAAACUCACCCUGGCUGACCUGGUGGUGCGUCUGCUCUUCACUCUGGGUAACCUAACAUCUCAGAGCAGUGAGGCCAGAGAGCACCUCUUCACAGCUGAGGGGCUGGCAGACAGUGAGGGACUUUGGGCCAGCUGGCUGUCAGACCCUGUGGAACCUCACUGAGAAGGGGGGUGGGGACAGACUCCCCAUCCACACUGGACAACCAGGAGAGAGAGGCACUGCUUGAGGUCCAAACACUGUACCUAGACGAGGAGGAAGCGCUGCAGUGGACCUCUGGUGAUUACAUGAGGGACUUCCACUGAGCAUUCUGGGAGUCAGAGUUCUGUCCUGUGGCUCAGAGGCUGAGGGACAGGAUCCAGACUCAGACUGUCAGCCAUCUACUCAGUCUCCCUCCCUAAAGUGUGAUGUUCUAGCCUUUCUUCUUGUUGUGCCCUGCAAGCAUCCUGUGACAG